AUAGCGUAUAUUAAAGUUGUUGCGGUUAAAAAGCUCGUAGUUGAAUCUGUGUCGCACGCUGUCGGUUCGCCGCUCGCGGUGUUUAACUGACAUGCUCGUGAGACGUCCUACCGGUGGGCUUAGCUCUUCGGAGCGGUCCAACUAAUAUCCCAUCGCGGUGCUCUUAAUUGAGUGUCGAGGUGGGCCGGUACGUUUACUUUGAACAAAUUAGAGUGCUUAAAGCAGGCUACCUUUGCCUGAAUACUGUGUGCAUGGAAUAAUGGAAUAGGACCUCGGUUCUAUUUUGUUGGUUUUCGGAAAUCCGAGGUAAUGAUUAAUAGGGACAGAUGGGGGCAUUCGUAUUGCGACGUUAGAGGUGAAAUUCUUGGAUCGUCGCAAGACGGACAGAAGCGAAAGCAUUUGCCAAAAAUGUUUUCAUUAAUCAAGAACGAAAGUUAGAGGUUCGAAGGCGAUCAGAUACCGCCCUAGUUCUAACCAUAAACGAUGCCAGCUAGCGAUCCGCCGAAGUUCCUCCGAUGACUCGGCGGGCAGCUUCCGGGAAACCAAAGCUUUUGGGUUCCGGGGGAAGUAUGGUUGCAAAGCUGAAACUUAAAGGAAUUGACGGAAGGGCACCACCAGGAGUGGAGCCUGCGGCUUAAUUUGACUCAACACGGGAAACCUCACCAGGCCCGGACACCGGAAGGAUUGACAGAUUGAGAGCUCUUUCUUGAUUCGGUGGGUGGUGGUGCAUGGCCGUUCUUAGUUGGUGGAGCGAUUUGUCUGGUUAAUUCCGAUAACGAACGAGACUCUAGCCUGCUAAAUAGGCGUAYMUUCUGGUAUCUUGAAGGCYCSCGRYUUCGGYCGKYGGGUUUUUACUACCAACGUACAAAUAAAUCUUCUUAGAGGGAC
This 888-nucleotide ribosomal RNA is filed under the name Ibalia anceps. RNAcentral's name for it is "SSU rRNA". It matches the Rfam family "Eukaryotic small subunit ribosomal RNA", at positions 596 to 1439 of the family's 1831-position model. Lineage: Eukaryota; Metazoa; Arthropoda; Insecta; Hymenoptera; Ibaliidae. The record is from RNAcentral.